This 1184-nucleotide ribosomal RNA is filed under the name uncultured organism. RNAcentral's name for it is "bacterial SSU rRNA". It matches the Rfam family "Bacterial small subunit ribosomal RNA", at positions 135 to 1350 of the family's 1533-position model. The record is from RNAcentral.
GGAUGGGGACAACCGUUGGAAACGACGGCUAAUCCCCAAUAGGCCGCAAGGUGAAACGGGAUUCCGCCUGGAGAGGAGCUCGCGUACGAUUAGUUAGUUGGUGAGGUAAGAGCUUACCAAGGCAGCGAUCGGUAGCUGGUCUGAGAGGAUGAGCAGCCACACUGGGACUGAGACACGGCCCAGACUCCUACGGGAGGCAGCAGUGGGGAAUUUUCCGCAAUGGGCGCAAGCCUGACGGAGCAACGCCGCGUGUGGGAAGAAGGCUCUUGGGCUGUCAACCAGUUUUCUCAGGGAAGAAGCCCUGACGGUACCUGAGGAAUCAGCCUCGGCUAACUCCGUGCCAGCAGCCGCGGUAAUACGGAGGAGGCAAGCGUUAUCCGGAAUUAUUGGGCGUAAAGCGUCCGCAGGGGGCACAUCAAGUCUGCUGUUAAAGGCUGGAGCUUAACUCCGGUAGAGCAGUGGAAACUGGUGUGCUAGAGGGCGACAGGGGUAGAGGGAAUUCCCAGUGUAACGGUGAAAUGCGUAGAGAUUGGGAAGAACACCGGUGGCGAAAGCGCUCUACUGGGUCGCACCUGACCCUCAGGGACGAAAGCUAAGGUAGCGAAAGGGAUUAGAUACCCCUGUAGUCUUAGCCGUAAACGAUGGAUACUAGGCGUGGUUUGUAUCGACCCUAGCCGUGCCGAAGGCUAACGCGCUAAGUAUCCCGCCUGGGGAGUACGCACGCAAGUGUGAAACUCAAAGGAAUUGACGGGGGCCCGCACAAGCGGUGGAGGAUGUGGCUGAAUUCGAGGCAACGCGAAGAACCUUACCAGGGCUUGACAUCCCGCGAAUCUCCAGGAAAGUGGAGAGUGCCUUCGGGAGCGCGGAGACAGGCGGUGCAUGGCUGUCGUCAGCUCGUGUCGUGAGAUGUUGGGUUAAGCCCCGCAACGAGCGCAACCCUCGUCCUUAGUUGCCAGCAUUGAGUUGGGCACUCUAGGGAGACUGCCGGUGACAAACCGGAGGAAGGUGAGGAUGACGUCAAGUCAGCAUGCCCCUUAUGCUCUGGGCAACACACGUCCUACAAUGGUCGGGACAAAGGGGAGCGAGCUCGCGAGAGUCAGCGAAUCCCAGCAAACUCGGCCUCAGUUCAGAUGGCAGGCUGCAACUCGCCUGCCUGAAGGAGGAAUCGCUAGUAAUCGCAGGUC